This 1308-nucleotide long non-coding RNA is filed under the name Taeniopygia guttata (zebra finch). Its description in RNAcentral is "lncRNA (ENSTGUG00000025701.1)". The record is from RNAcentral. Lineage: Eukaryota; Metazoa; Chordata; Aves; Passeriformes; Estrildidae.
CCAAAACCACGAGAGCAAAGCCCAGAAGUGCUGUGAGUUUCUGAGGAGUGGAGAGCACUGCCUGGGGAUAACCACAGAAACCAUCAGAAUUGCUCCAGGCCUGGGUUUCACUUUCCACCUGCUGAGGCAGGGAGAUUUAUCCAGCUUCAAGCAUGAAAAAGCAUGUCAUGUUUGCAGUGUGCCCUGCUUCAACAGCGAUCUUCUCAUCCCUGGCAGUUUCCCUUCUCCACAAGUAUCCAUCUGUUGGGAAAUAUAUUUGGAAAAAGAAAAAGUUACUUAAAUAACUAGCAUUCAGGAAUGAUUCCUUUUUCCAGAAUUUUAUUUGGUGUUAUGUGAAGAGUUCUUUCUGUGCAUGUUAUAAAGAAAUUUGCUCAUUUGGGCUUUCCCACUAGCAGAGGGAUCUAUGAUAGUAAAAGGGUUUUAAAAUCAUGGGGAUUUAGGGUUCAAAGGAAAAUUAAGCUUAGUAGACCCUGAGAAAAAAUAAAUACCCUAGGUACAUGAAGGCCUUGUACCUUGCUAGAACUGCACCUGUGUAGCCAGUACAUGAUAAAUGAUAUAAUUGCUAGAUGUGAUGAUUCUUUAGUAAUUAAAUACAAUGACUGUUUAAUCGUAAGAAUAAUCAUGAGAAACUGUGGUCAGCGGCCUAAGAAAGAUCAUGAGAAACUCACGUAUAAUAAGGUCAAUGUAUAAAAUAGAACAAUGUAAGUUUAAUAAUUACUAUGUAAGUUAUAUAACGAUAGAAUAUAAAAUACGUUCAGCUUGAAAGCCAUGUCGGAGUCAGAUUUGGGUCUGUACCCCUGAUUGCCAGAGCUCUCAAUAAAAGCACAGGGCUGCCCGGGGCCGCUCCGGCCCUCACGGUCCCGCACCGCCCGUCCCGGGGGGCCACAGCCCCGACACCGCCGGAGCCCCCUCAGCCGGUGCCCCUCACUGUCACUGCCCGAGCCCCUCACCGCCACAGACCCCUCACCGCCGGAGCCACGACACUGCCGGAGCUCCCUCACCUGCUGCCGCGCUGCCACGCAACUGCAUCCCAGUGAGGCGCAGGAUGCCGGAGCUGCCCGCCUCCCCCAGGGCCGAGCAGGAGAGGCCAAAGUUUAGGGGAGAAUUCCAGGGAUUUCCUGGCUAUCAGAGAACUACAGAACUAUAGAAUAUCCUGAGUUGGAAGGGACCCACAAGGAGCAUCGAUGUCCAGCUCCUGGCUGGCCUUAGAGUUCUCCUGUAACCACAGAAUGGGACCACAAGAGGUCAACAGCGACCUGUAAUGGCUAAUACCCCUUCUUUCUAUAUAUGAAAUACAUUAUAAUAAAA